ACCCGUUGAUCCUGCGGGAGAUUGCUGCUAUUGGAGUUCGAUUAAGCCAUGCAAGUCAGGGGGUCGCAAGACCACCGGCGGAUCGCUCAGUAACACGUAGAUAAUAUGCCCUUAGAUCGGUGAUAGCCUUGGGAAACUGAGGGUAAUAACCGAUAGGAAAUUUGUUCUGGAAAUGAUUUAUUUCUGAAAGGUAACGUCUAAGGAUUAGUCUGUGGCAGAUUAGGCAGUUGGUGAGGUAACGGCCCACCAAACCUAAGAUCUGUAGGGGCCAUGAAAGUGGUAGCCUCGAGAAGGUCACUGAGAUACUGGACCUAGCCCUACGGGGUUCAGCAGGCGCGAAACCUUUACAAUGCGCUAACGCGUGAUAAGGGUACUCCAAGUGCUCAUGUUUUACAUGGGCUUUUGCCAAGGGCGAACACCUUGGCGAAUAAGUGGUGGGUAAGACUGGUGCCAGCAGCCGCGGUAACCCCCGCGCCACAAGUGGUGAUCGGUUUUAUUGGACCUAAAGCAUCCGUAGCUGGCAAAAAAAGUCUCUUGUGAAAUCGGGACGCUUAACGUACCGGACUGCAGGAGAUACUAUUUGGCUUGGAACUGGGAGGAGCAAGAGGAAUUUUGGGGGAAGCGGUAAAAUGCUAUAAUCCCCAAAAGACCACCGAUGGCGAAGGCAUCUUGCUAGAACAGAUUCGACAGUCAGGGAUGAAAGCUAGGGGAGCAAACCGGAUUAGAUACCCGAGUAGUCCUAGCCGUAAACGCUGUGAGUUAGGUGUUGCGUAUUCUUAGGGAAUACGCAGUAUCGUAGUGAAGACGUUAAACUCACCGCCUGGGAAGUAUGGUCGCAAGACUGAAACUUAAAGGAAUUGGCGGGGGAGCACUACAAGGGGUGCGGCGUGCGGUUUAAUCUAACUCCACGCAGAGAAUCUCACCAGAAUUGACGGCAGGAUGAAGGACAGGCUAAAGACUUUUCUUGACGAGCCGAGAGGUAGUGCAUGGCCGCCGUCAGCUCGUGCCGUAAGGUGUCCUGUUAAGUCAGGUAACGAGCAAGACCUGUAUCUACAAUUGCCAGCGAGUGAUUUAUCACGAUCGGGCAUAUUGUAGGGACUGCCUUGGAAACAAGGAGGAAGGUGCAGGCAACGGUAGGUCUGUAUGCUCCGAAUAUUCUGGGCUACACGCGCGCAACAAUGGUAAGGACAAUAGGAUGCAACACCGAAAGGUGAAGCUAACCCUCUAAACCUUAUCCAAGUACAAAUUGAGGUUUGUAACCCAACCUCAUGACGCUGGAAUCCCUAGUAAUCGGGUUUUAUCAUAGCCCGGUGAAUGUGUCCCUGCUCCUUGCACACACCGCCCGUCAAAUCAACCGAGCAGGCUUUAGAUGAGCGUUAGCUUUAUUGGCUCGUGCGAAUCUAAGGUCAGUGAGGUGGGUUAAGUCGUCACAAGGUC
This 1437-nucleotide ribosomal RNA is filed under the name metagenome. RNAcentral describes it as "bacterial SSU rRNA". It matches the Rfam family "Archaeal small subunit ribosomal RNA". The record is from RNAcentral.